AUUCAGUUGACGAGUCGAAAAUAGGACGAAACGCGCAUCAAACUGGAU
RNAcentral lists this non-coding RNA (48 nucleotides) under Schistosoma margrebowiei. Lineage: Eukaryota; Metazoa; Platyhelminthes; Trematoda; Strigeidida; Schistosomatidae. The record is from RNAcentral.